Molecule: long non-coding RNA, 1061 nt
Organism: Culex quinquefasciatus (southern house mosquito)
Lineage: Eukaryota; Metazoa; Arthropoda; Insecta; Diptera; Culicidae
Exons: 2
Source: RefSeq, a predicted model, not a curated record
AACUCGCUCGAGUUCGGCACGAGUUUCACCGCCAUCUUGGAACUGAAAGUGCGAGUGCCGCACUCGAUUUUUUUCUAGUUUCGUGCGAGUUUCUCGCACACCAACAAACGAUGUUUGUAAACAUCGAAAUCAGCUGUUCAUUCAAAACAAGCUUAUUUUGUUGAAGUUUUCGAUUCCUUUGCAUGUGAUUGGUGAACAAAUCGGAAAAUAAUUGUAUUUGGGUGGCUAAGCUCUCUGUGCGAAGCGGAAACCAUCCCGAAGAUGCCAUUUCUGCCAAUGUACGUCAAAAAGGAGUACAAGCGAUGCCGUUUCGGGGAACGAUUUCAUCCGGACGGACGACGACCGGUCGAGAUUCGCAAAAUGGGCAGCUAGGCACCGCGUUCGGUGCACCGCGGUGGUUCUGUCGUUCCUUCCGGCAAAAUGCAAACUGAACAGUGAUUAGAAAUGACAAAGGUACAAGGGCAUCAUCAUGCUCACCAACUCGUCGAGCCGGAAGAAAUGCCUGAGUGGAUGAUCCUGCAAGGGACUGUUGCUGAAUCUGAUGCUGAUGCCAUCAGGACACACCCUAAUUUGGAACCUGGAGAACAUGUUGAUGCUGAACGGGACCCAGAACCGACAGUGUCGCUGAAUUUGAUGCUGGUACCAAUCUGGCACACUACGACCUGGAACCUGAUGGCGAACAAGCUGCCGAGUUGGCCGAGAGUGAAAUCGCGCGCUACGACGCGCUCCAGACCGGAUCGAAGGAUAAUCACGGACAUUCUUGGCAAUUCAAACGAACAGGUGAACCAAUAAAACCAGAGAAAGUGCAACAUUUUGUGUAUUUUGUGAAAUGUAGUGUGUGAUGUUAAUUCAGUAUAAAAAUAGAGAAAUUAAAAUAUUCUACUAGAUACUUGAAAUACUUUGCAAUAAGAAAGCAGACUUUCCCGACGUGGACACAGUCGGGAUGGACCAGUUAAUUAUGGUCCGGGACAAAGCAGUAGGAUGAACGGAAUUAACUUGUCUUAACUGGAUUGAGCGAAGUAUUCAAGUCCGUCUUACGUAGUAUUUCAUGGCAAUACCAA